RNAcentral lists this ribosomal RNA (507 nucleotides) under uncultured bacterium. Its description in RNAcentral is "partial 16S ribosomal RNA". It matches the Rfam family "Bacterial small subunit ribosomal RNA", at positions 28 to 506 of the family's 1533-position model. The record is from RNAcentral.
GACGAACGCUGGCGGCGUGCUUAACACAUGCAAGUCGAACGGGCCUUGUCCCCUUUUUUUUUGGGGGUGGGGUUAGUGGCGAACGGGUGAGUAACACGUGAGUAACCUGCCCCUCACUUCUGGUUAACCGCUCGAAAGGGUGGCUAAUACGGGGUGUUCUGGCCUGCUCGCAUGGGUGGGUUUUGACAGAUUCGACCGGUUUUGGCUGUUCUGGUGGGGGAUUGGCUCGCGGCCUAUCAGCCUGGUGGUGGGGUGAGUGCCUGCCAAGGCUUUGAGGGGUGGCCGGCCUGGGAGGGUAGGCGGCCACACGGGGAGUGAGACACGGCCCGGACUCCGACGGGAGGCAGCAGUGGGGAAGAGGGAACAGUGGGCGAAAGCCUGAUGCAGCGACGCCGCGGGAGGGAUGGAGGCCUUCGGGUUGUGAACCUCUUUCGCCAGUGAAGAAGGUCCUGCUGUUGGUGGGGGGGUGGGCGGUAGCUGGGCGAAUGAAGCGCGGGCUAACUACGU